GUGAGGAAUAUUGGUCAAUGGGCGAGAGCCUGAACCAGCCAAGUCGCGUGAAGGAAGAAGGAUCUAUGGUUCGUAAACUUCUUUUGCAGGGGAAUAAAGUGCAGGACGUGUUCUGUUUUGUAUGUACCCUGAGAAUAAGGAUCGGCUAACUCCGUGCCAGCAGCCGCGGUAAUACGGAGGAUCCGAGCGUUAUCCGGAUUUAUUGGGUUUAAAGGGUGCGUAGGUGGAUUGAUAAGUCAGCGGUGAAAGUUUGCAGCUUAACUGUAAAAAUGCCGUUGAAACUGUCGGACUUGAGUGUAAAUGAGGUAGGCGGAAUGCGUGGUGUAGCGGUGAAAUGCAUAGAUAUCACGCAGAACUCCGAUUGCGAAGGCAGCUUACUAAGCUACAACUGACACUGAAGCACGAAAGCGUGGGGAUCAAACAGGAUUAGAUACCCCUGUAGUCC
RNAcentral lists this ribosomal RNA (445 nucleotides) under uncultured bacterium. RNAcentral describes it as "partial 16S ribosomal RNA". It matches the Rfam family "Bacterial small subunit ribosomal RNA", at positions 354 to 796 of the family's 1533-position model. The record is from RNAcentral.